RNAcentral lists this transfer RNA (88 nucleotides) under Candidatus Kaiserbacteria bacterium RIFCSPHIGHO2_01_FULL_53_31. RNAcentral's name for it is "tRNA-Ser". It matches the Rfam family "tRNA". Rfam says of the family: Transfer RNA (tRNA) molecules are approximately 80 nucleotides in length. Their secondary structure includes four short double-helical elements and three loops (D, anti-codon, and T loops). Lineage: Bacteria; Candidatus Kaiseribacteriota. RNAcentral also lists the same sequence under 2 other names. The record is from RNAcentral.
GGAGGCGUCGGAUAGUGGUUUAUUCCACCGCCUUGGAAAGGCGGCAUACCGCAAGGUAUCGUGAGUUCGAAUCUCACCGCCUCCGCCA